GAACCGGGAACGGGAACAGGAAUGGGAACCGGGUCAGAACCAGGAACGGGAACAGGUCAGAACCGGGCAGAACCGGGAAUGGGAAUGGGGGCAGAACCGGGACCAAAACCGGGAACGGGGGCAGAACUGGAACAGAACCGGGACAGAACUGGGAACGGGAAUGGGAAUGGGUCAGAACCGGGACCAGAACUGGGCCAGAACCAGGAAUGGGAACGGGGGCAGAACAGGGACCAGAGCUGGGAACAGGGUCAGAACCAGAACCAGGGUCAGAACAGAACCGGGACCAGGAAUGGGGUCAGAACCAGGACCAGAACUGGGGACAGAACAGGGACCAGAACUGGGACUGGAGUCAGAACAGAACUGGGACCAGGACCGGGGUCAGAACAGAACCAGGAACGAGACCGGGGUCAGAACCAGAACCGGGAACAGGGGCAGAACCAGGACCAGAACAGGGAAUGGGGUCAGAACCAGGACCAGAACUGGGGGCAGAACCGGGACCAGACAGAAUCAGGAUCAGAACUGGGGUCAGACAGAACCAGGAUCAGGAUCAGAACCAGGACCAGAACUGGGACCGGGACCGGGGUCAGAACUGCGACCAGAACCAGGAGUGGGGGCAGAACCGGGACCAGAAGCAGGAACGGGGUCAGAACAGGGACUGGGGUCAGAACAGAACCAGGACCAGAACCAGGCAGAACCGGGGUCAGAACAGAACCAGGACCAGACAGAACCAGGGUCAGAACCGGGACCACAACCAGGGUCAGAACAGAAUCUGGGUCAGAACAGAACCAGGAUCAGGGGUAGAACAGAACCAGGACCAGAACCAGGACUAGGACUAGAACCGGGCUCACACAGAACUGGGACUGAGGUCAGAACCGGGACCAGAGAGAACCAGGGUCAGACAGAACCGGGACCAGGACUGGGGUCAGAACAGAACCAGGGUCAGACAGAAUUGGAACAGGCACCGGGGUCAGAACCAGGAUCAAAACUGGGGUCAGACAGAACUGGAACCAGGCACAACCGGGGUCAGACAG
This 1031-nucleotide long non-coding RNA is filed under the name Zonotrichia albicollis (white-throated sparrow). RNAcentral's name for it is "lncRNA (ENSZALG00000001749.1)". Lineage: Eukaryota; Metazoa; Chordata; Aves; Passeriformes; Passerellidae. The record is from RNAcentral.